This 433-nucleotide ribosomal RNA is filed under the name uncultured bacterium. RNAcentral's name for it is "partial 16S ribosomal RNA". It matches the Rfam family "Bacterial small subunit ribosomal RNA", at positions 29 to 507 of the family's 1533-position model. The record is from RNAcentral.
AACGAACGCUGGCGGCAUGCCUAACACAUGCAAGUCGAACGAGACCUUCGGGUCUAGUGGCGCACGGGUGCGUAACGCGUGGGAACCUGCCCUUAGGUUCGGAAUAACUCCCCGAAAGGGGUGCUAAUACCGGAUAAUGUCUUCGGCCCAAAGAUUUAUCGCCUUUGGAUGGGCCCGCGUUGGAUUAGCUAGUUGGUAGGGUAAAAGCCUACCAAGGCGACGAUCCAUAGCUGGUCUGAGAGGAUGAUCAGCGACACUGGGACUGAGACACGGCCCAGACUCUUACGGGAAGCAGCAGUGGGGAAUAUUGGAAAGUGGGCGAAAGCCUGAUCGACCAAUGCCGGGUGAGUGAUGAAGGUCGUAGGGUUGUAAAGCUCUUUUACCCGGGAUGAUAAUGACAGUACCGGGAGAAUAAGCUCCGGCUAACUCCGUG